UACGUAGGGUGCGAGCGUUGUCCGGAAUUAUUGGGCGUAAAGGGCUCGUAGGCGGUCUGUUGCGUCAGGAGUGAAAACUCGGGGCUUAACCCCGAGCCUGCUUCUGAUACGGGCAGACUAGAGGUAUGCAGGGGAGAACGGAAUUCCAGGUGUAGCGGUGAAAUGCGUAGAUAUCUGGAGGAACACCGGUGGCGAAGGCGGCAUCCUGGACCACGACUGACGCUGAGUGAGCGAAAGCGAGGGGAGCAAACGGG
Molecule: ribosomal RNA, 254 nt
Filed under: uncultured bacterium
Lineage: Bacteria
Description: partial 16S ribosomal RNA
Rfam family: Bacterial small subunit ribosomal RNA
Source: RNAcentral